This is a non-coding RNA of Paramuricea clavata, 243 nucleotides long. The record is from the annotation of a GenBank genome assembly. NCBI's taxonomy places the organism in Eukaryota, Metazoa, Cnidaria, Anthozoa, Malacalcyonacea, Plexauridae.
UUGAUUUAUAAUUAGUUUGUGAAUAAACUCACACUUUCAUUAUAAUGGUUGAUCGAAUAUAUCAAAUGCAUUUGAUUGGUUGAUGGUCCCUUACUGUCGUUCCAAUUGAAGUGUUCCUCAAAUAUUGAUUCAAUACAUUACCUCGGGCUGACCAAUUCAUUUCAUCAAGUUCCUCGAGAUCAACCUCGUUCCCAGGCUCUUUGCUCUUGGGAAGCAAAGACCCUGGUCGGGGCUUAUGACGUC